UAUAUACAUAUAUAUAUAUAUAUAUUAUUUUCUCACAACAGAGAUAGAGAGAGAGAGAGAGAAAGAAGAGAGAAAGAAAAAGAGAGGAGAGAGAGAGAGGUAGAGAGAGAACGCCGUCACAGAAAUGAUGCGGUAUUUUAAAAUACGCAAAAAGACGGCGUUGUAUUGCAAUAUUAAUAGAACUAGGUAAUUAUUUAUAGGAACAAUUAUUUAUAGAAGGAGACGAGAAAUAAGAAACAAUUAAUAACAAUAACAACAAAAAGAAAAUGAUUAAUUGGUUCUCAUUAAGAAGAGUUACCCUUGUAAAUUUAUAAAUGCAAAAAAUUUUCAGUAAUCUCAAAACAAUAAUGUUGUUAUUGAAAGCAUAAAAGCUUUAUCUAUAAGAAAAAGAAAAACAACAACACAACAACAAAAACAACAACAAAAAGGAGGAUUAUAUAUAUAUAUAUAUAUAACAAUUAUACAUAUAUAUAGUGUCGUGGGGAAGACAUGUAAAUUGAAAUUGUCAUUAAUUCAGAAUUGAGUAUAUGGGAAAUCGGUUUUCAAAGUCUGACGCUUUACCCUGAUGCGAUGCUUGAUGAUAGAAAGGACUUCGUAGGAAACAUGUUAAUUGUCUUAUUUGCACCGAUCAUCCAGUUAAUCUCAAAGAAGUGUAGUUAGACAUAUUGAAGUAGCGAGCAAUGUGCAUCGACGGUGCGUGCAUGGAACCACGAAUUUUCUUAAAAAAAAAACAUUAAAAAAUAAAAAAUAAAAGUAAUAAUAAUAAUAAUAAUAAUAAUAAUAUAAUAAUAAUAAUAAUAAUAAUAAAAAAAAUAAAUAAACGACGAUGACGAUGACGACGACGAUGACGACGACGACAACAACAACAACCAACAACCAACAACAACAGCAACAACAACAACAACAACAACAACAAAAGAAAGAAAGAAAACAAUGCACUGGAGUGUCAGAGAAUCUUAAAAGAAAUUGAAAUAAAUAAAAUAAAGUAUCUUUGUACAUUGUACGAUACUAUUAAGUAUGAUUCUUGAUAUCUUCAUGGUGCGUAAAAUAGGUAAAUAAAUACCCACGAUAAAACACAUUCGUGUAAUUUACAAUUUACACAAUGCGAAAAAGCGAAUAUUUAGGAAUACAAUUGCCACAGCGUUUUACGAAUCCGAAACGCCGUACUCCGAGAAAAAAAAAUAUAAAUAUAUUAACUUAAAUGGUUUUACGUGUAUUAAAACGAUUGUAAAUAUAUAUUAGAUACACCUUAUAAUAAACAUAAUUUAACAUA
This is a long non-coding RNA of Vespa mandarinia (Asian giant hornet), 1273 nucleotides long. The record is from RefSeq and is a predicted model, not a curated record. Lineage: Eukaryota; Metazoa; Arthropoda; Insecta; Hymenoptera; Vespidae.